GCCUCAAAAUUGUAGGAAUUAGGGGCAAAAAAGGGGGCAAAAAACAAGCAUUUUUCUAGUUUCAUGACAAUAACUUGUGUGUAAGUCUAUGGAUCUUUCUGAAAUUGUACUACAAGGUUUCAUAUCACAAAGGGAAAGCUGGGAUUGAGUUUGGGGGUAAUUGCUCAAAACGUUUAGGAAUAAGGGGCAAAAAAGGGGCAAAAAAUAAGCAUUUUCUAGUUUCCAGACAAUGACUUGUGUUCAAGUGUAUUGAUCUCUCUGAAAUUGUACUGCAAGGUUCCAUAUCUCAAAGGAAAUGCUUGGAUUGAUUUUGGGGGUAAUUGCCUCAAAAUUUUAGGAAUUAGGGACAAAAGAAGGGGCAAAAAACAAGCAUUUUUCUAGUUUCAUGACAAUAACAUGUGUGUAAGUCUAUGGAUCUUUCUGAAAUUGUACUACAAGGUUUCAUAUCACAAAGGGAAAGCUGGAAUUGAGUUUGGGGGUAAUUGCCCAAAACGUUUAGGUAUAAGGGGCCAAAAAGGGGCAAAAAAUAAGCAUUUUUAUACGACCGCAAAAAAAUUGUUGUGGUCGUAUAUUGGUAUGACGUUGGCGUCGUCGUCGUCGUCGUCGUCCGAAGACACAUUAGUUUUCGCACUCUAACUUUAGUUUAAGUGAAUAGAUCUCUAUGAAAUUUUACCAUAAGGUUAAAUACCACAAAAGGAAGGUUGGGAUUGAUUUUGGGGGUUAUGGUACCAACAGUAAAGGAAUUAGGGGCCAAAAAGGGGCCAAAAAUAAGCAUUUUUGUAACUUCCAGACAAUAACUUGUGUGUAAGUGUAUGGAUCUCUCUGACAUUGUACCACAAGGUUCCAUAUCUCAAAGGGAAGGCUGGAAUUGAUUUUGGGGAUAAUUGCCUCAAAAUUUUAGGAAUUAGGGGCCAAAAAAGGGGCAAAAAACAAGCAUUUUUCUAGUAUCAUGACAAUAACUUGUGUGUAAGUGUUUGGAUAUUUCUGAAAUUGUUCUACAAGGUUCCAUAUCACAAAGGGAAAGCUGGAAUUGAGUUUGGGGGUAAUUGCCCAAAACGUUUA
Molecule: long non-coding RNA, 1062 nt
Organism: Mytilus californianus (California mussel)
Lineage: Eukaryota; Metazoa; Mollusca; Bivalvia; Mytilida; Mytilidae
Exons: 2
Source: RefSeq, a predicted model, not a curated record